AAGGGAGCACAAGGUGCCACUUGUAUAGUUUGGCGUUUGGGGUCAAAGGUACGUCACAUGACUGCAACUAGGAAACGGAGCUUUGAGAGCUAUCAGUAGAUAUUUCUUAAACGCGAUAACAGAAAGUACUAUCUUUUAUGUUACUCCCUUGCUCGUUGAAAGUGGUCCCGACACGAUAAGAAGCGACAUGGGCUCUCCUAACCAGACCUGUGACAGUGGUGUACCCAUGGACCUCUUCCUACACUAUUCUCUCGUUCCGUCGGUAAGGGGUCUCUGUGUCCCCCAUACAGUACGUUAACAUCCAGGUUACAGCACUUGGAUCAGGAUGAUUUUCACAUACCACUACCACAACAACCCUGUCAUGUUGUGUUUCUGCCAUCUUCUCCUGGAGAGACAACAGAGGACCACAGAGGCAGAAUCGUACUCCACGUUCAACAACACACCUUCGCCAGAUUCAGCCUGUGGAAGUCGGGCCAGGCGGCGAUGGAUGCUCCUCUACACCCUGAUGAAGAACCCACGACUGAUCCUCCUGAGGAAGAACAGGACCUCCUCCAGUCCCACUCACCAGGACACUGUUGUCCAAGCCUGGCUGCUGGCCUCUCAAACCGAACAGAUGGGACAGGCACCAGAGACGACAGCCACAGCCGUUACAUCAGAUCAGACGACGGCCAAUGGGCAGGCAUUAACUGACUGAUUCUGCUCAUGGCUUAUACAUGCGCAGCCUGAAAUAGUGUAGUACAAUAAUGUGACAUAACAUUUAGUAGGCCUACACACAUUUCGAGGACCCCUUUUUGGCUCAUGGGUGCUACAUUUGAUACUACAGGCCAAGCUCUUACAAUGCAUUGUAUUGUAUGUGAUGAAUCAUGGGAAAUGGGGAUAACAACUGAAAUGUGUCUUCUGCAUUUAACCCAACCCCAGAGAGGUGCCGGGGGCUGGCUUAAUUGACAUCUACAUCUUUGGCACCCAGGGAACAGUGGGUUAACUGCCUUGCUUAGGGGCAGAACAACAGAUUCUUACCUUGUCAGCUCGGGGAUUCUAUCCAGCAAACUUUCGGUUACUGGGCCAAUGUUCUAACCAUUAGGCUAAUAUGAUUAAUGCAUUACAAAUUUGGAAAUAUCUACAUAAUUACUCCUACUGGGAAAAAUGCUAGGACAAAUUGAACAUAGUUAUGCUUUGUACCUCAUAACGGUCCAUUUGUUUUUACUCGGCCACGUAGCCACAGGAAGUAGAGGUGCUGAGGGUGUUGCAGCACUCUCUGAAAAAUCGGAAUAAAAAAUAUACAAUACCA
Oncorhynchus gorbuscha (pink salmon) is the source of this 1288-nucleotide long non-coding RNA. RefSeq lists it as uncharacterized. Lineage: Eukaryota; Metazoa; Chordata; Actinopteri; Salmoniformes; Salmonidae. The transcript has 4 exons. The record is from RefSeq and is a predicted model, not a curated record.